GAUGAACGCUAGCGGCAGGCUUAACACAUGCAAGUCGAGGGGCAGCACGGGUAGCAAUACCUGGUGGCGACCGGCGCAAGGGUGCGUAACGCGUGAGCAACAUGCCCUAUACAGGGGGAUAAUCCAGGGAAACUUGGUCUAAUAUCCCAUAGUAUUUAGAGGAGGCAUCUUCUAUAAAUUAAAGCUUCGGUGGUAUAGGAUUGGCUCGCGUGACAUUAGCUAGAUGGUGAGGUAACGGCUCACCAUGGCAAUGAUGUCUAGGGGUUCUGAGAGGAAGGCCCCCCACACUGGGACUGAGACACGGCCCAGACUCCUACGGGAGGCAGCAGUGAGGAAUAUUGGACAAUGGAUGGAAAUCUGAUCCAGCCAUGCCGCGUGCAGGAAGACAGCCCUAUGGGUUGUAAACUGCUUUUAUAUGGGAGCAAUAAGGUCUACGUGUAGACUGAUGAGAGUACCAUAUGAAUAAGCA
Molecule: ribosomal RNA, 469 nt
Filed under: uncultured bacterium
Lineage: Bacteria
Description: bacterial SSU rRNA
Rfam family: Bacterial small subunit ribosomal RNA
Source: RNAcentral